RNAcentral lists this ribosomal RNA (301 nucleotides) under uncultured bacterium. RNAcentral describes it as "partial 16S ribosomal RNA". It matches the Rfam family "Bacterial small subunit ribosomal RNA", at positions 509 to 809 of the family's 1533-position model. The record is from RNAcentral.
CAGUAGCCACGGUAAUACGUAGGUGGCGAGCGUUGUCCGGAAUUAUUGGGCGUAAAGGGAGCGCAGGCGGACAUAUAAGUCCAUCUUAAAAGUGCGGGGCUCAACCCCGUGAGGGGAUGGAAACUGUAUGCCUUGAGUGCAGGAGAGGAAAGCGGAAUUCCCAGUGUAGCGGUGAAAUGCGUAGAUAUUGGGAGGAACACCAGUGGCGAAGGCGGCUUUUUGGCCUGUAACUGACACUGAGGCGCGAAAGCGUGGGGAGCAAACAGGAUUAGAUACCCCUGUAGUCCCUGUCUCUUAACAC